GAGAGAGGCUCGCAAGCAACAAAGACUGCUAAUCCUUGCCACCUUGGUUAAACUCCAAGGCUCACUCG
This 68-nucleotide transfer RNA is filed under the name Paratilapia polleni (Pollen's cichlid). Its description in RNAcentral is "tRNA-Ser (AGY)". The record is from RNAcentral. Lineage: Eukaryota; Metazoa; Chordata; Actinopteri; Cichliformes; Cichlidae.